GGCUGAAUGGUUUAGUGGUAUAAUUCUUGCUUUGGGUCCUUUACCUUGAAUGUAAGAGGUCCUGGGUUCAAUUCCCAGUUCAGCCC
This 86-nucleotide transfer RNA is filed under the name Cladophialophora yegresii CBS 114405. It matches the Rfam family "tRNA". From Rfam's summary of the family: Transfer RNA (tRNA) molecules are approximately 80 nucleotides in length. Their secondary structure includes four short double-helical elements and three loops (D, anti-codon, and T loops). Further hydrogen bonds mediate the characteristic L-shaped molecular structure. tRNAs have two regions of fundamental functional importance: the anti-codon, which is responsible for specific mRNA codon recognition, and the 3' end, to which the tRNAs corresponding amino acid is attached (by aminoacyl-tRNA synthetases). tRNAs cope with the degeneracy of the genetic code in two manners: having more than one tRNA (with a specific anti-codon) for a particular amino acid; and 'wobble' base-pairing, i.e. permitting non-standard base-pairing at the 3rd anti-codon position. Lineage: Eukaryota; Fungi; Ascomycota; Eurotiomycetes; Chaetothyriales; Herpotrichiellaceae. The record is from Rfam by way of RNAcentral.